AGAGUUUGAUCAUGGCUCAGAAUGAACGCUGGCGGCGUGCUUAACACAUGCAAGUCGAACGAGAAAGGUACCUUCGGGUACUGAGUAGAGUGGCGCACGGGUGAGUAACACGUGAAUGACCUACCCUUCAGCGGGGGAUAACUCGCCGAAAGGCGUGCUAAUACCGCAUAUUGUACACACAUUGCGGUGUGUGUAUGAAAGAUGGGGACCUUCGGGCCUGUCACUGAGGGAGGGGUUCGCGUCCGAUUAGCUAGUAGGUGGGGUAAUGGCCCACCUAGGCGACGAUCGGUAGCUGGUCUGAGAGGAUGAUCAGCCACAAUGGAACUGAGACACGGUCCAUACUCCUACGGGAGGCAGCAGUGGGGAAUUUUGCGCAAUGGGGGCAACCCUGACGCAGCGACGCCGCGUAGGUGAUGAAGCUUCUUGGAGUGUAAAACCUUGUCACCGGUGACGAAGGUGCUGUGUUUAAUAGAUGCAGUGCUUGACGGUAGCCGGAGAGGAAGCCCCGGCUAACUCCGCGCCAGCAGCCGCGGUAACACGGGGGGGGGCAAGCGUUAUUCGGAAUUACUGGGCGUAAAGGGCGCGUAGGCGGCCUGUUAAGUGUGAAGUGAAAUCCCCCGGCUCAACCGGGGACGUGCUUUGCAUACUGGUGGGCUUGAGUCCGAGAGGGGGUGGUGGAAUUCCUGGUGUAGGGGUGAAAUCCGUAGAGAUCAGGAGGAACACCGUUGGCGAAGGCGGCCACCUGGAUCGGUACUGACGCUGAGGCGCGAAAGCGUGGGGAGCAAACAGGAUUAGAUACCCUGGUAGUCCACGCUGUAAACGAUGGUCACUUGGGGUUGGUGUGACUGAAACACAUCGAUGCCGGAGCUAACGCAUUAA
RNAcentral lists this ribosomal RNA (879 nucleotides) under uncultured bacterium. Its description in RNAcentral is "bacterial SSU rRNA". It matches the Rfam family "Bacterial small subunit ribosomal RNA", at positions 8 to 863 of the family's 1533-position model. The record is from RNAcentral.